RNAcentral lists this ribosomal RNA (253 nucleotides) under uncultured bacterium. Its description in RNAcentral is "partial 16S ribosomal RNA". It matches the Rfam family "Bacterial small subunit ribosomal RNA", at positions 524 to 776 of the family's 1533-position model. The record is from RNAcentral.
UACGUAGGGGGCAAGCGUUGUCCGGAAUCAUUGGGCGUAAAGCGCGUGUAGGCGGCUUGAUAAGUCUGCUGUGAAAGUCCAGGGCUCAACCCUGGAAAGCCGGUGGAAACUGUCAAGCUAGAGUCCGGAAGAGGCGAGUGGAAUUCCUGGUGUAGCGGUGAAAUGCGCAGAUAUCAGGAGGAACACCAAUGGCGAAGGCAGCUCGCUGGGACGGUACUGACGCUGAGACGCGAAAGCGUGGGGAGCGAACAGG